UGUCGUCAAUUUUAAGUCAAACCAGAAGCCGGGGAACUUCUUGGUUUCUUUUAGAUAGAAACUAAAAAAGAUGAAACGGCUGAGAGAAGCAAAACAAUCGGCUAACGAUUAUGUGAUCGGUCAAUAUCAUGUUAGCAUUUAUUAGUUUCAUCAUCAUCUUUUCUGUGGAGGUCUGCUAACUAUUAUGUGAUCAGACGGUCAAGAUCAUGUUAGCAUUUAUAGUUUCAUCAUCAACCUUUCUGUGGAGAGGAAAUAAUUCAAUAUACUUAUUUACAAUUUGAACACACACAAAAAAAAAGGACUCUCUAAAGUGUUGAAG
RNAcentral lists this long non-coding RNA (319 nucleotides) under Nicotiana benthamiana. Its description in RNAcentral is "long non-coding RNA (NBEN_LNC006031)". Lineage: Eukaryota; Viridiplantae; Streptophyta; Magnoliopsida; Solanales; Solanaceae. The record is from RNAcentral.